GUGAGGAGGGUGUGGCCAAUCAGGUACGGGAUCCUGCUGGAGCAGCGAGUGACGGCCUCAGAGAUUGACGCCCAGAAGAAUGAACCGGAAAGCCUCCCGACCUUUUACAGUUUGCUGAACCCGCUGGACGAAACCAAUCCGCUGCUCUAUUGAACAGUAGGCGUCCCGCCUACAUGAGUGAUUUAGCGCAGCGGGCCGUCUUCAUGUCCCCAGACCCCUCCUCCUGCAUCCUCUUCAGCUCAGGCAACAACAGCCACACCACAUGGAAGACACGCCGGGCCAGGACAGAGUUGAACCCCAUCAGUGUUUGGCGGACAGCAUCUUCCUCUGGCCCUUCCCUGGACACCGCACCCCACGCACCUCACAGCUGACGUCCCUCAAGGAAACACUCUCCGAACCAGAGCCUCUCGUGCCGGACAUCUGCCUGGACUACCUCUGGACCGACCACUCCCUCCCCCGAGCCUUCCUGACGGAGGGCCACGUGGAGUAGCAGUACCUCUACCUCGUGCUGUCACUGGCGGGAACUUUGCGCCGCAUCAAGAAGGGGACUGUGUCACCAUGGACGUCACUGCCCCGGGAGCCACCUCGGCCCUGGGCAGGAUUUAUUUCCGGAGCAACAACAAGGCCACUGCCGAGGGGAUGGCUGCAUCCAACACUCCGUACCUGCUGGACCAGGAGUAGCCAUGAAUGGCCUCAAUGAAGAACGCGAGAAGUCCGAACAUGAGACACAGGAGGAGGAGGAGGAGGAGGAGAGCCUGAUACAACAAGAAUGUGGCUUCACCUACAGGGGAUGCAUUUGAGAUUAAGGAGUGUGACACCAAGGUGGCCUGCCAGUGCUCAAUGUGUUCUUCCUCAACCAUUCCUACCUCCUCGGGGGAGACGCCAGCAAAAAGUGAGCCUUCGGGGACUUGGGGGAAGGGACACACACACACACACACACACACACCUUACCUAACCUAAUCUAACCUUGCCUAACCUAAUCUAACCUUCCCUAACCUAAUCUAACCUUAUCUAACCUAAUCUAACCUUCCCUAACCUAAUCUAACCUUAUCUAACCUAAUUUAACCUUACCUAACCUUAUCUAACCUUGCCUAACAUAAUCUAACCUAAUCUAACCUUACCUAACCUUAUCUAACCUUGCCUAACCUAAUCUAACCUUGCCUAACCUAAUCUAACCUUGCCUAACUUUGCCUACCCUAAUCUAACCUUGCCUAACCUUACCUAACCUAAUCUAACCUUACACACA
Molecule: long non-coding RNA, 1246 nt
Organism: Eriocheir sinensis (Chinese mitten crab)
Lineage: Eukaryota; Metazoa; Arthropoda; Malacostraca; Decapoda; Varunidae
Exons: 6
Source: RefSeq, a predicted model, not a curated record